CAGUCGCCACGGGAAUACGUAGGGUGCGAGCGUUAAUCGGAAUUACUGGGCGUAAAGCGAGCGCAGACGGUUAUUUAAGCAGGAUGUGAAAUCCCCGGGCUUAACCUGGGAACUGCGUUCUGAACUGGAUAGCUAGAGUGUGUCAGAGGGGGGUAGAAUUCCACGUGUAGCAGUGAAAUGCGUAGAGAUGUGGAGGAAUACCGAUGGCGAAGGCAGCCCCCUGGGAUAACACUGACGUUCAUGCUCGAAAGCGUGGGUAGCAAACAGGAUUAGAUACCCGAGUAGUCCCUGUCUCUUAUAC
This 301-nucleotide ribosomal RNA is filed under the name uncultured bacterium. RNAcentral's name for it is "partial 16S ribosomal RNA". It matches the Rfam family "Bacterial small subunit ribosomal RNA", at positions 509 to 807 of the family's 1533-position model. The record is from RNAcentral.